RNAcentral lists this ribosomal RNA (500 nucleotides) under uncultured bacterium. RNAcentral's name for it is "partial 16S ribosomal RNA". It matches the Rfam family "Bacterial small subunit ribosomal RNA", at positions 30 to 523 of the family's 1533-position model. The record is from RNAcentral.
AUUGAACGCUGGGGGCAGGCCUAACACAUGCAAGUCGAGCGGUUGACGGGAGCUUGCUCCCUGAUUCAGCGGCGGACGGGUGAGUAAUGCCUAGGAAUCUGCCUAUUAGUGGGGGACAACGUUUCGAAAGGAACGCUAAUACCGCAUACGUCCUACGGGAGAAAGCAGGGGACCUUCGGGCCUUGCGCUAAUAGAUGAGCCUAGGUCGGAUUAGCUUGUUGGUGAGGUAAUGGCUCACCAAGGCGACGAUCCGUAACUGGUCUGAGAGGAUGAUCAGUCACACUGGAACUGAGACACGGUCCAGACUCCUACGGGAGGCAGCAGUGGGGAAUAUUGGACAAUGGGCGAAAGCCUGAUCCAGCCAUGCCGCGUGUGUGAAGAAGGUCUUCGGAUUGUAAAGCACUUUAAGUUGGGAGGAAGGGUUGUAGAUUAAUACUCUGCAAUUUUGACGUUACCGACAGAAUAAGCACCGGCUAACUCUGUGCCAGCAGCCGCCGUAA